This 404-nucleotide long non-coding RNA is filed under the name Trifolium pratense (red clover). RNAcentral describes it as "long non-coding RNA (TPRA_LNC011526)". The record is from RNAcentral. Lineage: Eukaryota; Viridiplantae; Streptophyta; Magnoliopsida; Fabales; Fabaceae.
UGUAUUCCAAAUUUAUCAAUAAAAUAGAAACAAUAUGAAUCAAAGAACAAACAAUGUAAUAAUACAGGGGAUGAAUAAAAAAAUUCAAAACAUGAGAUGAAUGUAAUCCAUAAAUUAGAGAAACCAUAUAAAAGAUAAAAAGGGAUUACUUACAGAUUGACGAAUCCUAAAUUAUCUGUUACCUGAAGAUUUGCAAUGGAAGUGAAUUUGUGAGAAAAAAACGCAUUAACUAAUCAUUAACCAUGGAAGUUAAUCUGUAACAAAGUGAAAACAAAGAGAAAACAAAAAUUGUUACCUAGUGGAGGAUUUGAUUGAGAAGAGAACUUAAUGAAAUCAAUGAGAAAGAAAGUGACGGCAGCGAAGGUGUUGGUGGUGGUGAAGAUAUCAGAGAGGAUGAGAGAGAG